GUGUAGUUGGAAAAUAGCGGGUACCUGUCUAGGUCUUGACUGUUGAGUGCGUGUUCUUACCCAUAAAAAAAUUUAUUAAUUGAUGUUUCCAUUACACCUACAUAUUGAAUUAACAAUCUGAGCAUAAAUCACUCCUUAGCUUGACACUCAUCUUGAAGCCUUGGUAACAGAAAGCUCCACGUUUAUGUUGUUGCCUCAGAAACUGAAGGAGCAGCUUUGAUCAAGAAUCAUGACUCCUGGAAUUCGAUGUAUUUGUGUUUUCAAGAGACCCCAACUAAUUUUUCAAGCCUGAUCAUCCAUCUCAACUGUAAAUUCUUUCCGUUAUGAAGAAGUUUGAGUAGUUGUUAUUCUCUACUGUUUGCUCCUAAUUUCAAUUUUCAACUGAAUAUAUAUAUAUUUUUUCACUA
Molecule: long non-coding RNA, 407 nt
Organism: Cornus florida
Lineage: Eukaryota; Viridiplantae; Streptophyta; Magnoliopsida; Cornales; Cornaceae
Exons: 2
Source: RefSeq, a predicted model, not a curated record